AACGAACGCUGGCGGCAUGCCUAACACAUGCAAGUCGAACGAACCCUUCGGGGGUAGUGGCGCACGGGUGCGUAACGCGUGGGAAUCUGCCCUUUGCCUCGGAAUAACUCAGGGAAACUUGUGCUAAUACCGGAUGAUGUCUUCGGACCAAAGAUUUAUCGGCAAGGGAUGAGCCCGCGUAGGAUUAGGUAGUUGGUGGGGUAAAGGCCUACCAAGCCGACGAUCCUUAGCUGGUCUGAGAGGAUGAUCAGCCACACUGGGACUGAGACACGGCCCAGACUCCUGCGGGAGGCAGCAGUGGGGAAUAUUGGACAAUGGGCGCAAGCCUGAUCCAGCAAUGCCGCGUGAGUGAUGAAGGCCCGCGGGUCGUAAAGCUCUUUUACCAGGGAUGAUAAUGACAGUACCUGGAGAAUAAGCUCCGGCUAACUCCGUG
Molecule: ribosomal RNA, 433 nt
Filed under: uncultured bacterium
Lineage: Bacteria
Description: partial 16S ribosomal RNA
Rfam family: Bacterial small subunit ribosomal RNA
Source: RNAcentral